This 442-nucleotide long non-coding RNA is filed under the name Brassica napus (rape). RNAcentral's name for it is "long non-coding RNA (BNAP_LNC023521)". Lineage: Eukaryota; Viridiplantae; Streptophyta; Magnoliopsida; Brassicales; Brassicaceae. The record is from RNAcentral.
GCUGUAGAAAUUAACUUCUCACUGGGAAACAAAAAAAAAAAAAGAGGGCAACUGAGAGAUUAGAAGUGCAUGACUGAAAAUUAUAUUGGCAAGAAUAAAUCGAUAAAGCUCUAUACUGGAGAAGAAAAAAAAAAGGAGAAUAACGGCUGUGCAGAGAACGAAGAGUGAGAAAUAAAGACAGCAGCAACUCUUUUGUAUAUAAAGAUAACUAGGGGUUGGCCCGGGCUACGCCCGAAAUUUUAUAUAAUUUUAAAUUAUAUUUUUAUGUUUGAUUUUGUAUUUAAAUAUAUCUUAAAUAUACAGUGAUAUUGGUUAUACAAAUAUAUAUUGGUAGAUAAAUGAAAAUGUAAUAUUUAUUUAUUCAUGAUGAACGAACUAAAAUUAUUUAUACUCAUAUUUUUGCAUUUUGAUAGCUGAAAAUUAUAUUUAAGAAAGUUAAUUA